RNAcentral lists this ribosomal RNA (1132 nucleotides) under Nocardiopsis sp. OAct759. Its description in RNAcentral is "bacterial SSU rRNA". It matches the Rfam family "Bacterial small subunit ribosomal RNA", at positions 28 to 1158 of the family's 1533-position model. The record is from RNAcentral. Lineage: Bacteria; Bacillati; Actinomycetota; Actinomycetes; Streptosporangiales; Nocardiopsidaceae.
GACGAACGCUGGCGGCGUGCUUAACACAUGCAAGUCGAGCGGUAAGGCCCUUCGGGGUACACGAGCGGCGAACGGGUGAGUAACACGUGAGCAACCUGCCCCUGACUCUGGGAUAAGCGGUGGAAACGCCGUCUAAUACCGGAUACGACCCGCCACCUCAUGGUGGAGGGUGGAAAGUUUUUCGGUCAGGGAUGGGCUCGCGGCCUAUCAGCUUGUUGGUGGGGUAACGGCCUACCAAGGCGAUUACGGGUAGCCGGCCUGAGAGGGCGACCGGCCACACUGGGACUGAGACACGGCCCAGACUCCUGCGGGAGGCAGCAGUGGGGAAUAUUGCGCAAUGGGCGAAAGCCUGACGCAGCGACGCCGCGUGGGGGAUGACGGCCUUCGGGUUGUAAACCUCUUUUACCACCAACGCAGGCUUCCAGUUCUCUGGAGGUUGACGGUAGGUGGGGAAUAAGGACCGGCUAACUACGUGCCAGCAGCCGCGGUAAUACGUAGGGUCCGAGCGUUGUCCGGAAUUAUUGGGCGUAAAGAGCUCGUAGGCGGCGUGUCGCGUCUGCUGUGAAAGACCGGGGCUUAACUCCGGUUCUGCAGUGGAUACGGGCAUGCUAGAGGUAGGUAGGGGAGACUGGAAUUCCUGGUGUAGCGGUGAAAUGCGCAGAUAUCAGGAGGAACACCGGUGGCGAAGGCGGGUCUCUGGGCCUUACCUGACGCUGAGGAGCGAAAGCAUGGGGAGCGAACAGGAUUAGAUACCCUGGUAGUCCAUGCCGUAAACGUUGGGCGCUAGGUGUGGGGACUUUCCACGGUUUCCGCGCCGUAGCUAACGCAUUAAGCGCCCCGCCUGGGGAGUACGGCCGCAAGGCUAAAACUCAAAGGAAUUGACGGGGGCCCGCACAAGCGGCGGAGCAUGUUGCUUAAUUCGACGCAACGCGGAAGAACCUUACCAAGGUUUGACAUCACCCGUGGACUCGCAGAGAUGCGAGGUCAUUUAGGUUGGCGGGUGACAGGUGGUGCAUGCUGUCGUCAGCUCGUGUCGUGAGAUGGUUGGGUCAGUCCCGCACGAGCGCAAUCCUUGUUUCAUGUUGCCAGCACGUUAAUGGGUGGGGAACUCAUUGGGAAGAACUGUGCCAGU